CACAGCAAGAACUCCCAUCUUUGAUUUCUUUCUUCAGUAUCUUAUAGUUUUCAGAGAACAGGUCUUUUGCCUCCUUAGGUAGCUUUAUUUCUAGGUAUUUUAUUCUUUUUGAUGUGAUGGUAAAUGGGAUUGUUUCCUUAAUUUCUUUUUCUGACCUUGGGCUGUUAGUGCAUGGAAAAGAAGCUGAUUUCUGUGUACUACCUUUGUAUCCUGCAGCUUUACUGAAUUCAUUGAUGAGCUCUAGUGGUUUUCUGGUAGCACCCUUAGGAUUUUCUCUAAGUACCAUGUCAUCUGCAAAUAGUGACUGUUUUACUUCUUCUUUUCCAAUUUGGAUUCCUUUUAUUUCUUUUUCUCGUCUGAUUGCUGUGGCUAGGACAUCCAAAAGUGUGUAAGGUAAAAGUGGUGAGCGUGGAUAUCCUUCUUUUGUUCCUGAUCUUAGAGGAAAUGCUUUCAGCUUUUUACCAUUGAGUAUGAUGUUAGCUGUCGGUUUGUCAUAUAUGGCCUUUAUUAUGUUGAGGUAUGUUCCCUCUGUGACCACUUUCUGGAGAGUCUUUGUCAUAAAUGGAUAUUGAAUUUUAUCAAAAGCUUUUUCUGCAUCUAUUGAGAUGAUCAUAUGGUUUUUAUUUUUCAAUAUGUUAAUGUAGUGUAUCACAUUGAUUGAUUUGAAGAUACUGAAACAAUCCUUGAAUUCCUGGGGUAUAUCCCACUUGAUCAUAGUGUAUGAUCCUUUAGAUGUAUUGUUGGAAUCAGUGUGCUAGUAUUUUGUUGAGGAUUUUUGCAUGAUGUUCAUCAGUGAUAUUGGUCUGUAAUUUUUUUUUUUUUUUUUGUCUUUUCUAGGACUGCAUCCACAGCAUAUGGAGGUUCCCAGGCUGGAAGUCUAAUUGGAGCUGUAGCUGCUGGCUUACGCCACGGCCACAGCAACACCAGAUCUGAGCUGUGUCCGUGACCUAUAUACCACAGCUCACGGCAACGCCAGAUCCUUAACCCACUAAGCGAGGCCAGGAAUUGAACCUGCAGCCUCAUGGUUCCUAGUCAGAUUUGUUUCUGCUGUGCCAUGAUGGGAACUUCUGUAAUUUUUUUUUUUAAGGGCCACACAUGUGGCAUAUGGAAGUUCCCAGACUAGGGGUGGAAUUGGAGCUGCAGUUGCUGUCCUACACCAAAGCCACAGCAAUACCAGGUCCAAGCCAUGUCUGCAACCUACACUGAAGGUCAUGGCAGUGCUGGAUCCUUAACCCACUAUUCGAGGCCAGGGAUUGAAUCUGCAUCCUCAUGGAUACUAGUCAGGUUCGUAACCUGCUAGGCUGCAGUGGGAACUCCCACAUGUAUCUUUCUGAAUUAUAGUUUUGCCUGGGUAUAUGCCCAGGAGUAGGAUUGCUAGAUCAUAUGGUAGUUCUGUAUUUAGUUUUUUGGUUGGAGUUCUUUCUUGUUUUUACUUAUUUAUUUAUUUAUUUAUUAUGGCUGCACCUGUGGCUUAUGGAAAUUCCCAGGCCUGGGGUCAAAUUGCAGCUGCAGCUGUGACCUACACCACAGCCAUGGCAACACCGGAUCCAAGCCACAUUUGUGACCUGUGCCGCAGCUUGCAGCAAUACCAGGUCCUUAACCCCGUGAGUUAGGCCAGGGAUUGAACUCACAUCCUCACAGAGACAAUGUUGGGUCUUUAACCAACUGAACCACUAUGGAAACUCCUUUUUCUUGUUUUUAAAUGUAAAUGUUUAUAACUAUACAUUUCCCCUUAACACUCCUUGGAGUGGUUCUUGUACAAGUUUUGGUAUGUUGUGUUAUGUUGUGUUUUCAUUUUCAUUUGCCUUUAAUUAUUGCCUGCCUUCCUUUUUUUUUUUUCUUUUUUGGCUUUUUAGGGCUGUACCUGCAGCAUAAGGAUGUUCCUGGGCUAGGGGUCCAAUUUGAGCUGCAGCUGCCAGCUUACACCUUAGCCACAGUGAUGCAGGAUCCAAGCCAUGUCUGUGACCUAUACCACAGCUCAUGGCAGUGCUGGAUCCUUAACCCACUGAGCAAGGCCAGGGACUGAACCUGAAUCCUCAUGGUUACUAGUCCAGUUCGUUACCACUGAGCCACAAUGGGAACUCCUGCCUCUAGCUAUUUUCUAAUUUUUUGUGAUUUCUUCUUUGAUCCAUUGGUUUAAGACUGUGUUUUUUAAUUUUCACAACUUUGUAAGUUUUUCAGCUUUACUUAAAUUGUUGGUUUCUGACUUCAUCCUUUUGUGGUUGGAGGAAAUAUUUUGUAUGAGGUCGAUCUUUUAUAAACCUAUUGAGACUUAAUGUGUAAUAGGAAUUACAUGGGCACAGUUAAUGAUCUGGCUUGUCUGUGUGGAGGUGCUGUUUUGAUCCCCACCCCUGCACAGUGGGUUAAGAAUCCAGCAUUGCUGCAGCUGUGGCAUAGGUUGCAUUGCAGCUCUCGCUCAGAUUUGAUCCCUGGCCUGGGAACUUCCAUAUGUCAUGGGUACAGCUGAAGAAUAAAAGAAAAGUAACCUAACAUAGGGUCUAUUUUGGAAAAUGUCCCACAUACACCUGAGCAGAGUGUGUAUGAUGUUGAGUAGAGUGUUCUGUAUGUGUGUGUUGGAUCUAGUUUGUUUAUGGUGUUGUUUAAGUACUCUGUUUCCUUUUGUUCUGGCUGGUUGUUCAGUCUAUUAUUGAGGGUGUGGUUUUGAAGUCUCCAACUUUUAUUGUAGGGUUAUCUGUUUCUCAUUCAAUUCUGUCAGUUUUUUGCUCCCUGUGUUUUGGGUACAUCAGUGUUUAUAAUUAUUAUAUUUUCUUGCUGUAGUAAACCUUUAUUAAUGUAUAAUAUCCUUCUUUGUCUCUUAUAAACUUUUUUGAAUUAAAGCCUAUUUUGUCUGAUAUUAACAUAGCUACUCAUUUUCUUUUGGUUACUCAUUGCUCGGAAUGUGUUUUUCCAUCCUUUUACUUUCAGUCUUCAUAUGUCUUUGGAUCUAAAUUGAGGUUCUUGUAGACAGCAUAGAGUGCAUUAUAUGUUUUUAUCCAUUCUGCCAGUCUCUGUCUGUCAACUGGAGAUUUUAAUCUAUUUAUGUUUAAAGUAUAUACUGAUAAGGAUGAAAUACUUCUGUUAUUUUGGUACUUGUUUUCUGUAUGCUUUAGUUUUUUCCCCUUCCUCCCUCCCUCCCACACCUGCAGCAUAUGGAAGUUCUUAGGCCAGGGAUCACCCCUCACCACAGCAGCAAUCCAAGCCACCACAGUGACAACACCGUAUACUUAACCUACUGUGCCACAAAGAACUCCUUGUUUCUCAUUUUCUGCAUUAUUGUCCUUUGUGUUUGAUUUUUCUUUUUGGCUGCACUUGUGGCACGUGGAAGUUCCCAGGCCAGGGAAUGAACCUGUGCCAUAGCGGUGACUCAAGCCACAGCAUUGAAAAUGCCAGAUCCGGAGUUCCCGUCGUGGCGCAGUGGUUAACGAAUCCGACUAGGAACCAUGAGGUUGCGGGUUCGGUCCCUGCCCUUGCUCAGUGGGUGAACGAUCCGGCGUUGCCGUGAGCUGUGGUGUAGGUUGCAGACGCGGCUCGGAUCCCGCGUUGCUGUGGCUCUGGCGUAGGCCGGUGGCUACAGCUCCGAUUCAACCCCUAGCCUGGGAAUCUCCAUAUGCCGCGGGAGCGGCCCAAGAAAUAGCAACAACAACAACAACAAAAAGACAAAAGACAAAAAAAAAAAAAAAAAAAGAAAAUGCCAGAUCCUUAACCCACUAGGCCACCAGGGAUCCCCAGUGUUUUGAUUUUUUUUUAUUGAAGUGUAGUUGAUUUACAAGGUUGUGAUAAUUUCUGCUGUACAACAAAGUGAUUCAUUCAUACAUAUACACAUAUCCAUUCUCUUUCAGAUUCUUUUCUCACACAGAUUAUCACUUGAUCUUUUUAAUAGUGAAAUAUUUAAAUUCCUUUCGCAUUUCCUUUUUUGUGUAGUCUUUUUUUUUUGUCUUUUUUUAGGGCUGCACCCAUGGCAGGUGGAGGUUCCUAGGCCAGGGGUCCAACUGGAGCUGCAGCUUUUGGCCUACGCCAGAGCCACACCAGUUCCAAGGCGCGUCUGCAGCCUACAUCACAGCCCAUGGCAACGUCGGAUCCUCAACCCACUAAGUGAGGCCAGGGUUUGAACCUGGAACCUCAUGGUUCCUAGUUGGAUUCGUUUCCCCUGCGCCACAACGGGAACUCCCUUUUUUGUGUAUUCUGUAAUUAUUUUCUUUGUGGUUAUCAUGGGAAUUACAUUUAGCAUCGUAAAGUUAUAACCCUCUAAUUUGAUUUAUACCAGCUUAACUUCAAUAACGUACAAAAAACCUUCUUCUUUACAGCUCCACCCACCUCUUUCUGUUGAUGUCUCAAAAUUAAAUCUUCAUGUGCCCACAAACAUAAACUAAUCUUUUAAAUACAUUAGUCUCCUAAAUUAUGAAGGAAAUAACAUAUGGAGUUACAAAUAAAAAUUACAAUAAUAAUAAUUUUUAGACUAAUUUAAAAAAGUAUAUUAAUAUCUUAAGUCAUGUAGAAAACAAAAAAAUGGAGUUAUAGACUUGUGGUUUUGGUUAUUUUUAAGAUUUUUAAAUUUUUUGUCUUUUUUUUGGUCUAUCCUCCUCAUGGAUGCUAGUCAGAUUUGUUUCCAUGGAACCAUGAGGGGAACUCCUAAGAUGGUUGUUUUAAAGUCUUUGUCUGUAGGAUCUACCAUCAGGUUUUUCAAGGACAGCUUCAGUUGAUUUAUUUUUUUCUCUGAAUGGGCCAUAUUUUCCUUUUUUUUUUUUUUAAUACUUCUGCUUUGUUGUUGUUAAAAAAUGGACAUUUGGGAGUUCCCUCUUGCCUCAGUGGGUUAAGGAUCCAGUUGUCACUGCUGUGGCUCUGGUUACAGAGGUGGCGUGGGUUUGACUUCUGGCUUGGGAACUUCCACAUGCGGUGUGCACAGACAAAAAAAACAAAAAACCCACAAAACCCGGAUAUUUGGAUCUAAUAGUGUGAUACACCUGGAAGUUGGAUCAUCCUCCUUUCCAGGACUUGCUGUAUUUUUGGUGGUGUAGGUUGUCUCUGUACCAAGGAUCAGUCUGAGAUACAACUUAAGGUUUUCUUAGGUCUCUUCUGAACUUGUACCUUCCUUGGGGUUGUAUGAUCUGUUUUGAAUUUUCCUUUUUUAUAUAGUUGCUUUUGAAUCCUAGACUUUGAUGUCUGGCUCCCAAAAGGGGAAAGGAAAAAUGAAAGAGGGAAGAAAAGGAUGCUAGCCUUUUAAAUCCUCUGGAAGUCACUUCAUCUGGAGAGGGGGGUGUUGCAGCAAUGGGGGCGGUGAAACGGCGGUGGCUGCCAGCCUGUCUCACCUCUGUGAUCAGAGCACAGAUCCUUAGUCUUUGGAGGACAGGAUCUUUUUUGCCCACCCUCCCUCCUGCACGCUGUGUGCAGGCUCAUCCAGAAGCACAUAUAUAGCCUCCAGCAGCAUGGCUGGGGGGUGGGAUGUCUAGCUGCUACGUAUUAAGAGCUGAAGUUGACAGAAAUUAACCACAAUUUACUGUUUUAGUCCUCCUAUGGAAGUUGCAUUUGAGUUCCAGAAUAGUCACACUAGGCAGCUUCUGACAGGUACUGUUUUUCGGGUGAGGAGAUUCCUGGUGCAUCCUACUCUGCCAUAUUCCCAGAAGUUUCCAGGCUGUGUUCCUUUUUGUCCUUGUCUGUUUGCCUUCCUCUCCACUGCAUUCUUCCACUCUCUGUCACUGCCUCCCCAGGGUACAUCCUAAGUGCUUGGCACUUGUGGGAAAGGCUCAGUAAAUUGGCCUGUCUUAAAUUCCCUGUUUGCUCCUGUUCUCUCACUGUCCCAUCAGGGAUGACCGUGGGCUGGGCUGCAGUCUUCAUAUGGGCACCCACGGAGGGCUCCCCAGGAGGGAGAGAGAAAGGGGACUGUACUAGGUUAGACAGUGUCUCCCCCAGAUUCCUUUCUUCCUGGAACCUGUGAUCUUAUUUGGAAGUAGGGUCUUUGCAGGUGUGAGAAAUUAGAACGAGGUCAUACUGGAUUUGGGUGGACCCUAAUCCAGCGACUGGUGUCCUCAGAAGAGGGGCACGUGAAGAUGGAGGCAGAGAUUGGAGUGUUGCAGCCACAGGCCCAGGGCUACUAGCGACCAGCAGAAGCUGGAAGAGACAAGGAAGGCUUCUACCUGAGAGGCCCUGGAAGGCACAUGGAAAGAGGAAUUUAAGGGUUUUUUGUCUUUUUAGGGCUGCACCCUUGGCAUAUGAUGGAGGUCCCCAGGCUAGGGGUCGAAUCAGGAGCUGUAACCACUGGCCUGUGCCACAGCCAUAGCAACGUGGGACCUGAGCCAUGUCUGUGACCUACACCGCAGCUCACGGCAACGCCAGAGUCUUAGCCCACUGAGUGAGGCCAGGGAUCGAACUCAUGUCCUCAUUGGUGCUAGUCAGAUUCGUUUCUGCUGAGCCACGACGAGAACUCCUGUUUUUGUUUUAAAGCAGUUGAGAGUAAUAAUUCAGGGCCCCUUUAAUAACAUGGCCCCAUGUUUCAUUCCGUUGUAGUAAGAAGGUUCUCGAUUCCUGGUGUCCAUUCCUCCUGAUUGGCACACAGGAGGUAAGAAUGAGCACAUCCCUGUGAUGGGAACUCCUGAAGCUGGUUUUUUAUUUAUAGGAUGGACUGGUUCAUCCUACUUCACCUCCCUCAUGGACUGUUUCUGUUGGAGAUUUCUCUGAAAAUGGGAAAGCACAGGAGUUCCGGUUGUGGUGCAGCGGAAACGAAUGUGACCAGGAACUAUGAGGUUGCAGGUUCGAUCUCUGGCCUUGCUCAGUGGGUUAAGGAUCCGGUGUUGCUGUGAGCUGUGGUGUAGGUCACAGACUUGGCUCGGGUCUGUUGUUGCUGUGGCUGUGGUGCUCUAGCUCCGAUUCGACCCCUAGUGUGGGAACCUCCAUAUGCCGUGGGUGUGGCCCUAAAAAGCAAAAAAA
Molecule: long non-coding RNA, 6921 nt
Filed under: Sus scrofa (pig)
Lineage: Eukaryota; Metazoa; Chordata; Mammalia; Artiodactyla; Suidae
Description: lncRNA (ENSSSCG00005032012.1)
Source: RNAcentral